UACAGAGGGUGCGAGCGUUAAUCGGAAUUACUGGGCGUAAAGCGUGCGUAGACGGUUAUUUAAGUCGGAUGUGAAAGCCCCGGGCUCAACCUGGGAAUUGCAUUCGAGACUGAAUAGCUAGGGUGCGGUAGAGGGAAGCGGAAUUUCCGGUGUAGCGGUGAAAUGCGUAGAUAUCGGAAGGAGCAUCAGUGGCGAAAGCGGCUUCCUGGACCAGUACCGACGUUCAGGCACGAAAGCGUGGGGAGCAAACAGG
RNAcentral lists this ribosomal RNA (253 nucleotides) under uncultured bacterium. RNAcentral describes it as "partial 16S ribosomal RNA". It matches the Rfam family "Bacterial small subunit ribosomal RNA", at positions 524 to 776 of the family's 1533-position model. The record is from RNAcentral.